AGAGUUUGAUCAUGGCUCAGAGUGAACGCUGGCGGCAUGCCUAACACAUGCAAGUCGAACGGGUUUCGGCAGCACAUCGCCGAGACAAGUGGCAGACGGGUGAGUAAUACGUGGAUAAUCUGCCUUCGAGAGGGGGAUAACCCCGGGAAACCGGGGCUAAUACCGCGUGAGACCACGAUCCCGCAUGGGAUUGAGGUUAAAGCUCCGCAAGGGGCGCUUGAAGAGGGGUCCACGGCCUAUCAGCUAGUUGGUGAGGUCAUGGCUUACCAAGGCUACGACGGGUAGCCGGUCUGAAAGGACGACCGGCCACAAUGGCACUGAGACACGGGCCAUACUCCUACGGGAGGCAGCAGUGGGGAAUUUUGCGCAAUGGGGGAAACCCUGACGCAGCAAUGCCGCGUGGAGGACGAAGGUCUUCGGAUUGUAAACUCCUUUUAUAGGGGAAAAAUGGCUUCGUGAAUAACGGAGCGUGAUUGUACCCUGUGAAUAAGCCACGGCUAACUUCGUGCCAGCAGCCGCGGUA
RNAcentral lists this ribosomal RNA (523 nucleotides) under uncultured bacterium. Its description in RNAcentral is "bacterial SSU rRNA". It matches the Rfam family "Bacterial small subunit ribosomal RNA", at positions 8 to 522 of the family's 1533-position model. The record is from RNAcentral.